UGGGGAAUUUUCCGCAAUGGGCGAAAGCCUGACGGAGCAAUACCGCGUGCGGGAGGAAGGCCUUUGGGUCGUAAACCGCUUUUAACAGGGAAGAAGAUCUGACGGUACCUGUUGAAUAAGCCUCGGCUAACUCCGUGCCAGCAGCCGCGGUAAGACGGAGGAGGCAAGCGUUAUCCGGAAUUAUUGGGCGUAAAGCGUCCGCAGGUGGCCUAUCAAGUCUGUUGUUAAAGCCCAGGGCUCAACUCUGGAUCAGCAAUGGAAACUGAAAGGCUAGAGUACGGUAGGGGUAGAGGGAAUUCCCAGUGUAGCGGUGAAAUGCGUAGAUAUUGGGAAGAACACCAGUGGCGAAGGCGCUCUGCUGGGCCGUAACUGACACUCAUGGACGAAAGCUA
This 392-nucleotide ribosomal RNA is filed under the name uncultured Acaryochloris sp. Its description in RNAcentral is "bacterial SSU rRNA". It matches the Rfam family "Bacterial small subunit ribosomal RNA", at positions 355 to 762 of the family's 1533-position model. The record is from RNAcentral. Lineage: Bacteria; Bacillati; Cyanobacteriota; Cyanophyceae; Acaryochloridales; Acaryochloridaceae.